UACGUAGGUGGCAAGCGUUGUCCGGAAUUAUUGGGCGUAAAGCGCGCGCAGGUGGUUUCUUAAGUCUGAUGUGAAAGCCCGCGGCUCAACCGUGGAGGGUCAUUGGAAACUGGGGAACUUGAGUGCAGAAGAGGAAAGUGGAAUUCCAAGUGUAGCGGUGAAAUGCGUAGAGAUUUGGAGGAACACCAGUGGCGAAGGCGACUUUCUGGUCUGUAACUGACACUGAGGCGCGAAAGCGUGGGGAGCGAACAGG
This 253-nucleotide ribosomal RNA is filed under the name uncultured bacterium. RNAcentral describes it as "partial 16S ribosomal RNA". It matches the Rfam family "Bacterial small subunit ribosomal RNA", at positions 524 to 776 of the family's 1533-position model. The record is from RNAcentral.